AUUGAACGCUGGCGGCAUGCUUUACACAUGCAAGUCGAACGGCAGCGCGGGCUUCGGCCUGGCGGCGAGUGGCGAACGGGUGAGUAAUACAUCGGAACGUGCCCAGUAGUGGGGGAUAGCUCGGCGAAAGCCGGAUUAAUACCGCAUACGACCUGACGGUGAAAGCGGUGGAUCUUCGGACCUCGCGCUAUUGGAGCGUCCGAUGGAAGAUUAGCUAGUUGGUGGGGUAAAGGCAUACCAAGGCGACGAUCUGUAGCUGGUCUGAGAGGACGACCAGCCACACUGGGACUGAGACACGGCCCAGACUCCUACGGGAGGACGCAGUGGGGAAUUUUGGACAAUGGGCGAGAGCCUGAUCGAGCAAUGCCGCGUGUGUGAUGAAGGACUUCGGGUUGUAAAGCACUUUUGGCGGGAACGAAAAGGACUGUGCCAAUACCACGGUUCGAUGACGGUACCCGAAGAAUAAGCACCGGCUAACUACGUG
RNAcentral lists this ribosomal RNA (484 nucleotides) under uncultured bacterium. Its description in RNAcentral is "partial 16S ribosomal RNA". It matches the Rfam family "Bacterial small subunit ribosomal RNA", at positions 30 to 507 of the family's 1533-position model. The record is from RNAcentral.